UACGUAGGGGGCAAGCGUUGUCCGGAAUCAUUGGGCGUAAAGAGCGUGUAGGCGGCCAGAUAAGUCCGCUGUGAAAUCUCGAGGCUCAACUUCGAGCUGUCGGUGGAAACUGUCUGGCUAGAGUCCGGAAGAGGAGAAUGGAAUUCCUGGUGUAGCGGUGAAAUGCGCAGAUAUCAGGAAGAACACCCGUGGCGAAGGCGGUUCUCUGGGACGGUACUGACGCUGAGACGCUAAAGCGUGGGGAGCGAACAGG
RNAcentral lists this ribosomal RNA (253 nucleotides) under uncultured bacterium. Its description in RNAcentral is "partial 16S ribosomal RNA". It matches the Rfam family "Bacterial small subunit ribosomal RNA", at positions 524 to 776 of the family's 1533-position model. The record is from RNAcentral.